UACGAAGGGGGCUAGCGUUGUUCGGAAUCACUGGGCGUAAAGCGCACGUAGGCGGACUUGUUAGUCAGGGGUGAAAUCCCGGGGCUCAACCCCGGAACUGCCUCUGAAACUGCAAGUCUUGAGUCCGAGAGAGGUGAGUGGAAUUCCUAGUGUAGAGGUGAAAUUCGUAGAUAUUAGGAAGAACACCAGUGGCGAAGGCGGCUCACUGGCUCGGUACUGACGCUGAGGUGCGAAAGCGUGGGGAGCAAACAGG
This 253-nucleotide ribosomal RNA is filed under the name uncultured prokaryote. RNAcentral describes it as "partial 16S ribosomal RNA". It matches the Rfam family "Bacterial small subunit ribosomal RNA", at positions 524 to 776 of the family's 1533-position model. RNAcentral also lists the same sequence under 1 other name. The record is from RNAcentral.